AUUGAACGCUGGCGGCAGGCCUAACACAUGCAAGUCGAGCGGAUGAGUGGAGCUUGCUCCAUGAUUCAGCGGCGGACGGGUGAGUAAUGCCUAGGAAUCUGCCUGGUAGUGGGGGACAACGUUUCGAAAGGAACGCUAAUCCCGCAUACGUCCUACGGGAGAAAGCAGAGGACCUUCGGGCCUUGCGCUAUCAGAUGAGCCUAGGUCGGAUUAGCUAGUAGGUGAGGUAAAGGCUCACCUAGGCGACGAUCCGUAACUGGUCUGAGAGGAUGUGCAGUCAAACUGGAACUGAGACACGGUCCAGACUCCUACGGGAGGCAGCAUUGGGGAAUAUUGGACAAUGGGCGAAAGCCUGAUCCAGCCAUGUCGCGUGUGUGAAGAAGGUCUUCGGAUUGUAAAGCACUUUAAGUUGGGAGGAAGGGCAGUAAGUUAAUACCUUGCUGUUUUGACGUUACCAACAGAAUAAGCACCGGCUAACUUCGUGCCAGCCGCCGCGGUAA
RNAcentral lists this ribosomal RNA (500 nucleotides) under uncultured bacterium. RNAcentral's name for it is "partial 16S ribosomal RNA". It matches the Rfam family "Bacterial small subunit ribosomal RNA", at positions 30 to 523 of the family's 1533-position model. The record is from RNAcentral.